GUGGGCCCUCGAAAUCCUCUGGCGGGAGGAUUCAGUUAGGUGAGGCUGAGGUGAGAAUGGUCGACUAAACGGACCCUUUCCGGGGACGGGCUAUACUCACGGUCUUGGCUUUACCUGACGCACUUCCUCCCGCACGAAGGACGCCGCAUCCGGUUGGGUAGCUGCGCGAGUCGGCCAUGAGGACAGGCGCCGGCAGUUGGCCGGUGGCAUCGCUUCAGCUUUGCCGCCGGUUGUUAGCCAGCUUGUCCGUGGCGCGACACCCGACCGAGGUUGAAUAGUUCCCGCAUGGGAACUCGCCGUCCCCUUCCGUUUGUGGAGUGGGCACUUCGGCAGGUGUUUCGCGGUGUCGCCUCGUCACUCUUUGUAGUGGCCGGCGCUCCGCGUUCCCUGUUGGCCGAAAGUGUACCGCAGGGGUGCAGGCGGCUAGCGGCGAGUGAGUCGGUCACCCACCUGACCCGUCUUGAAACACGGACCAAGGAGUCUAACAUGUGCGCAAGUCACGGGGUCUUGAUUAGGCCCAGAGGCGCAAUGAAAGUGAAGGUCGACCUCGACGUCGGCUAUGUUGGGAUUUCUCGUCCUUUGUGGCGGGAAAGCACCAACAAUCCGUCCUAUCCGAUUUAUCGGUUGGCCGGAAUUGGAGCGUACACGUUGGGACCCGAAAGAUGGUGAACUAUGCCUGGGCAGGACGAAGCCAGAGGAAACUCUGGUGGAGGUCCGUAGCGGUUCUGACGUGCAAAUCGAUCGUCAGACCUAGGUAUAGG
This 761-nucleotide ribosomal RNA is filed under the name Oonops pulcher. RNAcentral describes it as "partial large subunit ribosomal RNA". It matches the Rfam family "Eukaryotic large subunit ribosomal RNA", at positions 423 to 921 of the family's 3401-position model. The record is from RNAcentral. Lineage: Eukaryota; Metazoa; Arthropoda; Arachnida; Araneae; Oonopidae.